This 202-nucleotide unclassified non-coding RNA is filed under the name Basidiomycota sp. RNAcentral describes it as "partial contains small subunit ribosomal RNA, internal transcribed spacer 1, and 5.8S ribosomal RNA". The stretch from base 1 to 47 matches the Rfam family "Eukaryotic small subunit ribosomal RNA", at positions 1785 to 1831 of the family's 1831-position model. The record is from RNAcentral. Lineage: Eukaryota; Fungi; Basidiomycota.
AAAGUCGUAACAAGGUUUCCGUAGGUGAACCUGCGGAAGGAUCAUUACAAGUAUUGUGUUGUGGUUAGGUGAGGUAUAUGGCGGUGCUUUUUAAGAUUCCGCCGAUACCAAGCCGCUACUACUACCUUCAUGCGUGUUGUGUUUGACAGAGUCAUAUGUGAGCAAACAGUUAAAACUUUUAACAAUGGAUCUCUUGGUUCUC